Molecule: ribosomal RNA, 393 nt
Filed under: Priestia megaterium
Lineage: Bacteria; Bacillati; Bacillota; Bacilli; Caryophanales; Bacillaceae
Description: bacterial SSU rRNA
Rfam family: Bacterial small subunit ribosomal RNA
Source: RNAcentral
UGGGCGUAAGCGCGCGCAGGCGGUUUCUUAAGUCUGAUGUGAAAGCCCACGGCUCAACCGUGGAGGGUCAUUGGAAACUGGGGAACUUGAGUGCAGAAGAGAAAAGCGGAAUUCCACGUGUAGCGGUGAAAUGCGUAGAGAUGUGGAGGAACACCAGUGGCGAAGGCGGCUUUUUGGUCUGUAACUGACGCUGAGGCGCGAAAGCGUGGGGAGCAAACAGGAUUAGAUACCCUGGUAGUCCACGCCGUAAACGAUGAGUGCUAAGUGUUAGAGGGUUUCCGCCCUUUAGUGCUGCAGCUAACGCAUUAAGCACUCCGCCUGGGGAGUACGGUCGCAAGACUGAUACUCAAAGGAAUUGACGGGGGCCCGCACAAGCGGUGGAGCAUGUGGUUU